AAACCGGGUCUAAUACUGGAUACUACUCCUCAUCGCAUGGUGGGGGGUGGAAAGGGUUUUACUGGUUUUGGAUGGGCUCACGGCCUAUCAGCUUGUUGGUGGGGUAAUGGCUCACCAAGGCGACGACGGGUAGCCGGCCUGAGAGGGUGACCGGCCACACUGGGACUGAGACACGGCCCAGACUCCUACGGGAGGCAGCAGUGGGGAAUAUUGCACAAUGGGCGGAAGCCUGAUGCAGCGACGCCGCGUGAGGGAUGACGGCCUUCGGGUUGUAAACCUCUUUCAGCAGGGAAGAAGCCACAAGUGACGGUACCUGCAGAAGAAGCGCCGGCUAACUACGUGCCAGCAGCCGCGGUAAUACGUAGGGCGCAAGCGUUGUCCGGAAUUAUUGGGCGUAAAGAGCUCGUAGGCGGUUUGUCGCGUCUGCUGUGAAAGCCCGGGGCUCAACUCCGGGUCUGCAGUGGGUACGGGCAGACUAGAGUCCAGUAGGGAAGACCCUUAUUAGUCGUGAAUCUGAUCAUGGCGCAGAUUUAAAUACCCUGGUAGUCCUGAGUUUGAUCC
This 561-nucleotide ribosomal RNA is filed under the name Kocuria sp. B181. RNAcentral describes it as "bacterial SSU rRNA". It matches the Rfam family "Bacterial small subunit ribosomal RNA", at positions 154 to 697 of the family's 1533-position model. The record is from RNAcentral. Lineage: Bacteria; Bacillati; Actinomycetota; Actinomycetes; Micrococcales; Micrococcaceae.